RNAcentral lists this ribosomal RNA (394 nucleotides) under uncultured bacterium. RNAcentral's name for it is "bacterial SSU rRNA". It matches the Rfam family "Bacterial small subunit ribosomal RNA", at positions 30 to 425 of the family's 1533-position model. The record is from RNAcentral.
AUUGAACGCUGGCGGCAUGCCUUACACAUGCAAGUCGAACGGCAGCGGGCCUUCGGGUGCCGGCGAGUGGCGAACGGGUGAGUAAUGCAUCGGAACGUGCCAUUGAGUGGGGGAUAACGUAGCGAAAGUUGCGCUAAUACCGCAUAUUCUGUGAGCAGGAAAGCAGGGGGACCGCAAGGCCUUGCGCUCUUUGAGCGGCCGAUGUCAGAUUAGCUAGUUGGUGAGGUAAAGGCUUACCAAGGCGACGAUCUGUAGCGGGUCUGAGAGGAUGAUCCGCCACACUGGAACUGAGACACGGUCCAGACUCCUACGGGAGGCAGCAGUGGGGAAUUUUGGACAAUGGGGGCAACCCUGAUCCAGCCAUGCCGCGUGAGUGAAGAAGGCCUUCGGGUUG